GUAAUGUUACGUGCCUGCCAUCCUUAUCCUAUGCCAGAAGUACAACACCAGUCUCACCCCCAUUCCGGCGUGGAGUUCUCUGAGUUCGGUGGCACUUGGGAUAUUCCACUUCAGUGCCAUGAGAAGAAAAUGGUAAGCAAAAAGCAAAAGGAAUAAUGCAAAAAAAAAAAAAAAUUAUAAUGUUCUGGUAUCCAAUUGCUCCUGCUUCAGCCUUUUAUCCAAAGCCUUGAGAUGGAUCUGCCUCAUCCAGGAAGUUUUCCUGCUUCGUUAGAGUAUCUUCAUUUUCUUUAUCAGAUGCUGGCUGGCACUCCACGCCAGUGCACGGCUCCAUGGAAUGCCUGCUGUUGGACACUUGCAGAGCUCUGCCACCAAGCAACCUCCUGCAUUGGAAAUCGGGGGACUACUCCAGGAUCUUAUGCGUGCUUGCUGUUUGAAGCUGCAGAAAAGUGAAUAAUCAAUUAAGUAUUGAUUUCUUGUAAGAUUUGGUAAAUUUCAAAGGCAAGACAAAGAGGAUGGCUUAAGGAAACACCGCAGGGACUUGGCGUAAAUUAGACAACUAACGGAAGCGCAGAAUAAAAUAACACCUCAACUGAAGAUUUCCUUGGAAGAAUUAGCACUAGCUAUUGGAAGACAAUGGUGGAUUUAAUCAAAACAGCAGGCACGCAAGAAUUUUACCCGUGAACCAGAAAAAAGAGCUAAUUAUAACCACCUUUUCAAUGGAGCUAAUUUGACUGAAUGGAUGCAAAUGUGCUUUAUUUAUGGAUGAAGAAGCAAGCCUUACUGCAUGAUCUUGGGAUCAUCGGAUCUGCUAAGCUUUGCAGCUCCUGUUACCUUCAGUACAUUUUUUAUUUCCGGAGAAGGUAUUUAUAUGUAAACAACAGCUAACCAUGCAAAAGAUUCAUCGGAACAAUAUACUGUGGUAUAUGAGAUAUAAUCAUAAUUUUGCAGCCUCUCAGGAUUUCCUCUAACUUGGAGGUUUUGCAACCUUUGUGUGCAAUGGGUUAUGGUAAACAAUAAAUGAAUGAUGCUAAAGUGUUGUGAUUUUUCAAUGUGUAGUUUGUUAAUUUUAGCUUUCUUAACAUAUUGAUUCUGAAUUAUUUGCAAUAAAUCCAUACGAAAGAAAGGGAAUUGUUGGGUGGGGUUUUUUUUAAUGCACUUGCAGUCUUCUUAGAGAUCGGAAUGUGUAGGUCCCACCAGCCCAUGAGCUCUAUAAUUAUAAAAGAAUGGUAAAAAAUUUGACAAUUUGAAGUAUUGGUUUUAUAAUGGGAACAAUGUGUUACAAUCAGUAAAAGGAGACUUGUUAUGUUUUCUCUCUGUGUAGAAUGUUCUUGAGUGGUUAACUCCUCUGUUGCUGAUGAGAAGUAAAUACCAGAACUGGCAAUAAGCAGAGAUUGUAAUGACAAUGCUUUGUUCCUAUGCAUCCUCCUAUUUCAAGCUAAAGUGCAUUUUUAGCAUUUCCUUCUAUUUCUAUUAUUUUCCUUUCUAUUUUUGUUCUUUUCAUCAUUUUUUCUGUCUUGCAAUCUACGUUCCCUGAGCAACCAUAGGAACCAAGUUACAUUAAGCUUAAACACAAAGACCUUGUAAGAAUAAUGAGUCCUCAUUUGCAUCGACAUUUGUAUUCAGAUUUGCCAGGCUAUAAACUUGGCAGAUCAAGCGGAAUAUUAAGUAGAGGCUUCCAUGGUAAAUUGUGGCUCUUGAAAUUGCUAACUACCCCCUCCCCUUUUUUUUCUCUCUAUCUGUGGUGGCAGGUGAAGUCUCAUGACUACUUGCUUCUUAAGAAGCGUAUUGGCUCCUUCAUCUUUCAUUAUAUGAUGCCAGUUUCAAGCAGAAGAGGGGCAAAGCCAGUACUAGGUGUUCUAGUUGAAGGCACAAAAUGACAUGUAACUGUAGCAUUAAUUCUAGAGUCCAUAUAUCACAAGAGGUGUCUUUAAGUAGUUGAAGCUGUAAGAAAAUUAAUUCUCAUGUAUGGGCUAAGGUUUGAUCUUUCUGGUAUGUUCAAAAUGCAUUAACCUCAUGAAACUUCACACUCAUUUUUUAAAGCUUCUAAAGGUUGGAGGAGGACCAAGGUAGCUCUUUACUCACAAAAUAAUUCAGUUACACCAUUCUGAGUCAUCGUCACUGACCUACUCAUGCCCAUUCUUGAAAUAUUUUAAAUGCCUCAUUCUAUUAAGCCUCCAUGGAUUGACUGACUUAAUCUUUAGUUUUGCUUGAUUCUGAAAUGGUAAAAUAGGAAUAGUUAUACUUACUGCUAGCAAACUUAUAAAUUCAGCAAUAUGACCCAUAAGGUCAUUUCUACAACACAGCCAACAAUGGGGUGAAAAAUGUAGACUUUAAUUUCCAUGCUUGGUCCACCCUAUGCGAUGCCAAACAAGUGAGUAAUUGGAAACAUUUGUGCAUAACUUAAUUUUUCACGCAUUACCCCAGUGUUUCAGAUUUCUGUAAACAGAGCCUAAAUCUAUGACCUAUUAACAAACUCUCACUUCUUGCCAUCCCUUUUUCUCUCUAGAACCUUUCACUAGUGGGGAGCAAUAAAACAUAUUAGAACUAACAAACUUACAAUGGACAUUUAAUAGUGAUUUUCCUUUCUAUUCUAUUUUUUAAAAUAGAAAUGGAGUAAAUGAUAAAAUGUAGACUGAAUUUAUCAUAAAGACAUUCCCUUUUGGUAUAUUGCAAGGAACUAUGAACUUUUAGUAACUACUAUAAGCAACUGACAGGUAAGUCUUACUCUAGAUUGAGGUAAAGUUUAAUUGUAUAUGGAAAAAAAUGGGAGAAUGCUUCAUGAAAGAUGCUAUACCUUUUUUUGAAAAACAUACCAGCAAGUAUGUAGAAUAAGGACUCAUAUUUUAUAAGCUUCCAUAAACUUGUAAAAAUAUGUAUAAUAAUCUUUCCAUAGUGUAUACUGGUAUGAUAUUAGUAAAUCACAAUGUAGCACAUUUUAAAGUAGGGUUUUAGCUAUUUUUCUUAGUAACUGAGUUUUAAAUCUGAGAAGAAAAAUGUAAAUUAUAACCUUUUUGGGAAACUAUAUGCUUGUAUUCCACAAUCUAACUUUUAAGGAAAAUAAACUAUUUGAUAGUUUGGU
Molecule: long non-coding RNA, 3079 nt
Filed under: Pongo abelii (Sumatran orangutan)
Lineage: Eukaryota; Metazoa; Chordata; Mammalia; Primates; Hominidae
Description: lincRNA
Source: RNAcentral